AUACGAAGGGUGCAAGCGUUACUCGGAAUUACUGGGCGUAAAGCGUGCGUAGGUGGUUGUUUAAGUCUGUCGUGAAAGCCCUGGGCUCAACCUGGGAAUGGCGAUGGAAACCGGGCGACUAGAGUGUGGCAGAGGGUAGUGGAAUUCCUGGUGUAGCAGUGAAAUGCGUAGAGAUCAGGAGGAACAUCCGUGGCGAAGGCGACUGCCUGGGCCAACACUGACACUGAGGCACGAAAGCGUGGGGAGCAAACAGGAUUAGAUACCCUGGUAGUCCACGCCCUAAACGAUGCGAACUGGAUGUUGGGUGCAAUUUGGCACGCAGUAUCGAAGCUAACGCGUUAAGUUCGCCGCCUGGGGAGUACGGUCGCAAGACUGAAACUCAAAUGAAUUGACGGGG
This 397-nucleotide ribosomal RNA is filed under the name uncultured bacterium. RNAcentral's name for it is "partial 16S ribosomal RNA". It matches the Rfam family "Bacterial small subunit ribosomal RNA", at positions 523 to 918 of the family's 1533-position model. The record is from RNAcentral.